CAGCCGCCGCGGUAAAACGUAGGUCCCGAGCGUUGUCCGGAUUUAUUGGGCGUAAAGCGAGCGCAGGCGGUUAGAUAAGUCUGAAGUUAAAGGCUGUGGCUUAACCAUAGUACGCUUUGGAAACUGUUUAACUUGAGUGCAAGAGGGGAGAGUGGAAUUCCAUGUGUAGCGGUGAAAUGCGUAGAUAUGUGGAGGAACACCGGUGGCGAAAGCGGCUCUCUGGCUUGUAACUGACGCUGAGGCUCGAAAGCGUGGGGAGCAAACAGGAUUAGAUACCCCAGUAGUCCCUGUCUCUUAUACC
Molecule: ribosomal RNA, 301 nt
Filed under: uncultured bacterium
Lineage: Bacteria
Description: partial 16S ribosomal RNA
Rfam family: Bacterial small subunit ribosomal RNA
Source: RNAcentral